Capsicum annuum is the source of this 47-nucleotide non-coding RNA. The record is from Rfam. Lineage: Eukaryota; Viridiplantae; Streptophyta; Magnoliopsida; Solanales; Solanaceae.
CAAUCAGCUUUUCUAAAAGCUACAGCACUGAGAAAUAAUCUCAGCCU